UUCUCCUCCCCUCCCCCCGCCUCGCCCCAGUCCCUUCGCAGACGCGGGCCUUCUCGUGGACGGCCCAGGGACUAGUCGCCAUUCGCGACUGUAGCGUUGACUGCCCCUCCCCACCCACUCGGGGAGCUGGGGAGGGCCCCGGCAGCGAUAGGGACCCGGGUUGUGACGCGGCCUCUCCCCGAGCGUCCCCCAGGGCCGGCGGCGCUGCCUUCUCGGCCCUCCUCGGACUCGGGCUGGGGCGGGAUCUUGCAGGGCUGGUCUCGGGAGCGGGGUCUCUGGCCCCCGCGUCUCCGGGUCCGCUGGGGACUUGAGCGGGGGCCGUGAACAUCCUUUGUGCCCCACUUCCCCUCCUCCCAGCCUGGGCGUGGGGGCGGGGGGACCGCAUGGAUGCGGUUCCUCUUUCUCUCCCUGGUGUCUGGGCGGCGCCUUUCCCAUUCACUCAUCAGGUCUCCUGGUUUUCUAACCCCCCCCCCCCCCGAUAUUCCCCAUUGCCUCUCCUGACAGAUCCUUUAGAACCUCCACAGAAAAAACGUAGGCUCUCCUGAAAACCUGGGCUCAAUGGUGCAAAAUCGAAACCUUGCUGCUCUCACGUUUUUGUUAACAAAAGGCUCCUCUUUCUCUAUACCCCAAAGCACGUCCUCUUGCGGGGAACGUAUUUCUCGCUAGCGUUUUCAUUGAUCGUUCUCGACAUGUCAUCUCCGUUUUUUCCUAACGUGUUUUGUAUUGAAAAGGUUUCACAGGAAAGUGAGUGACCUCGCACCUAUAUCCAUAGCAACCCAGUGAUGUCACACACAAUGACACAGAGGCUGCAAUGCACCUAAGGGCUGGUAGGGAGUAUGCAAAUGGCAUUUGUCCAAGGUAAUGCAGAAAUUAGCAGAUAAGCAGGUGGAAUUGAGGACUUCAUCUUAUCCGCCAGAUAAGAAUUGGUCCAGAAAAUAAGAAUAUCAUUUACCUUUAGGCAUGCAGAGCAGUGACCUCUAGAUAUGCCAAUUCAUUUUCCAAUUUCUAGUUUACCCACAAAAGUUUAUAAGCUACAUUUGUAUUUUUAAACAUUUGUCUCAUUGUUAAAAUUGGACAAUAAUGGAAUAAAGAUAGAAAUUUUAAACAAGAAUAUGUCUUAAUCAUAGUGCUGGGCUGGGCUGUAUACUUGGGUUUUUUGCAGAUUAUUAACUUGGCAGGUGUUAAUAAAAACCUUAAAAAACUCUUGACUUCCUACUGGGUCGUUUUCAGUAAUGUUAGAGAGUGAGAACUGGUUACAAAACACAAGGCAAAAGUUCUCUUGUGCCUCUGGUCCUUGUCAGUAUGGAGGAAAGGGCAGUUGUAAAAUAAAGCAGACCUUUCUUCAAACCCACUUAUGAGGAAGUGUGCUUACCUCUCCGACCCUCAUUUUCCUCAUCUGUGAAAUAGGUCAAUAUCCCCUUGAAAAAGGUGUGAGGAUUAAGAAAUUAGUAGGUGUUCGAAAAUAGUAACUACUUCUAAAACUUUGAUUCUUCCCCUGUUUAUGAGAAUCAUCUCCUCAUGGAGAAUUUGGGAAAGACAGAAAGAUACAGAGAAAAAUACUCUGUCCUGUCACUCAAAUGAGCGUUCUUCUAAGGCUGAAAUCAUCCUAAUGAUAGAGGGAUUAAGGCUAUUUGCAUUUAAUGAAAUUAUCCUAGUAAUAAUGUCACUGGGGCCUGUGUGGAGGAAUAAAUUGUGUGUGGGUGACGUAACACAAUAGGAAUGAAAAUCAGCAUGCAAUAUUUUGAAAAGGAAGAAAGAGGGAAGUUUAGUGUUGGGUUUUUUCCUUAAGUUAUUAUUUUUUGUGUUAGUAAUCCCUAUGCCCAGUGUGGGGCUCGAACUCAGGACCCCAAGAGCAAGAAUCACACGCUUCCAAAUGAGACAGCCAGUUUGUUUGUUUGUUUGUUUAUUUAUUUAUUUAUUUAUUUAUUUAUUUAUUACUGUAUGUUUUUGAGAGAGGGAGAGACAGCCUGCAAGUGGGGGAGGGGGAGAGAGAGAGAUAGAGAGAUAGAUAGAUAGAUAGAUCUGAAUCAGGCUCCAGGCUCUGAGCUGUCAGCACAGAGCCCGACGCAGGGCUUGAACUCAUAAACUAUGAGAUCAUGCAUGACCUGAGCCGAAGUCGGAUGCUUAACCAGCUGAGCCACCCGGGCACCUCAAGGUUUAAUUUUUAAGAGAAGUGUGUAGUCUUCCAUUUAAGGGGAGAGGGAACACCUAGAUGUUUCUUGUUAGAUGGUUCUGUCCUGUCCUUUGGAUUCUAAUAGCCUCUGAAGAGAAGUUAAUAAUCUAAGUAGGCUACUAGUAUUCGCCUCCGGAGGGAGAAAAGCUUCUGGGCUCCUCUUGUUGAAGUGACCCGAUUGGGGGGUUUGCUUGCAAAAGGCCUUCUUAAUUCUAUUAAAAAAAAAAAAAAAAAAAAAAAAGUCUUGCUGGAAUCAAUAUAGUUGAAAAUUCUUCCUAUCUUAAAUAUUGUGUUUUUCCUACUAGCCCUUCCAGGAGGGGCCAGAUCAAUAGCCAUUAUCACUAAUGGAGUAAUGACACCUCUGUAGACUUCAGAGGUGGAGUUCUGCCAGCCAUUAUUCUAAGUCAUGUGGUUUCAAUUGUUCUCUUCUUUGGGGUGGGAAGGAUACAGAUAACAGUUGGCUUUUUAUGUAGUAGUCUUUGCAGUAACUGAAAUGACGAUUAAGUGCCUUUUCUAAUUAUUAAAAAAAAAAAAAAAAAAAAAAAGCAACCUCCCAUGGAUCUUUUGAAUUCUAUCCAGAUAAAAGGUGCUGCUAAACGUGUAUUCUUGUUAACAGAGCUUUGUGUUAACAGCAGACCGUGGGGGAGUUUCAUCCCCUAGUAUUGGCAGGAAGCCUUAUUUGUUAAGCCUAACUCCUAAUCGUUAAGAAGAAAAAAUAAUUUUGUUUUUAUUGAGGUAAAAGUCAACGUAACAUGCAGCAAACCGUUUUCAAGCGUACGGUUCAGUAACAUUUUGCACAUUUGCAAUGUUGUGCAACCAUCCCCUCUAGCUAAAAAACUGGGAGAAUGCCGUUUCUAAAAAGGAUGAUGGCUUGGCUAUAACUGGCUGGAUUUCAAAACAUUACUGAUUCAGGAAUGUGUCAAUAAUGAAGUAACCACAGCAGCUUACAGCCACUGGUAAUCGGGAUCCUUCUCUUUGUUUUCUAACAUCUGGACCUUUUUGGCAUAAAUUGAAAGGAAAAGAGACUUGUCUCAACUAGAUUAAGAUUUCCAUCGAAGUUCCAGAGCUUAAAAACCAUAUGAUGGUCCCCCAAAUAAGUAACAAUGUAUCUGAAAUCGGAACAAACUAUUAAUCAUUUGGAGAUUAUGGAAAUUUUGCUGGGUUCGUACUAGGACUCAUUUUCCACUCCAGUGCUGACUUCGUUGUAAGUGAUUUCUCUGCUGUGUGGCAGCAGUCCCCUAAUGAGCACCGCACGGCACCCUAAUGAGCACCGCCCAGUGCUGAGAGGGUGAGCUGUUCAAGCACGGAUGCUACACUGAUAGUCCCGUGUAUAUGAUGUCACACACAUCGUUUGGGGGCUUCUGAGGCUGCCAGGAGCUUCUCCCUCCCAUAAUCACCAGCCUUAACCCUUUUAUCUGGCAGGGCAUCUGACUGUUUCUGUAUUGCUAUCAGAUUCCGUGGGAUGUGGGAGAAAGAGAGCACAGGCCAUCUUAGGUACUUAAUAGUCAAAGGAGGAAAAAAAUUACACAUAAACCACCGUCUUUUGUUCGUUUGAGUAAGCUCUGUGCCCAACGUGGGGCCUGAACUCAGGACCCUGCAAUCAGGAGUCACAUGUGCUACCCACUGAGCCAGUCAGGCGCCCAUCUUUUGUCUUAUUUUCUAAGUUCUAUUAGUGCUUAACCAGAUAUUUAAGGUUAUAAUCAGAGGAUGCUAUGUUUGCUGCCUUUGUAGGUUGUGAAGGCUGCCAAUAUCAUCUGCCUUUUGGCCUUGCCUUUCAUAAUCCCUUUCCUCUUCUCCCCAAAUUCUGUUUUAGGUAUGAGCUGUUGAGUUUGGUUCACUACCACCACAUCAUCCUACUUUUUAAAUUGGGCACUUGUAGAGAUCCUUGAGUUUUGUUUUUUCUAAUUUAUAAAUUUGAAUAGUGCACAAAACCGUUCUGUGAGAAAUGAUCAGUAGAAGUUCCCAAAGGAGAGCUUUAGUUUAAAGGUAAACGGUUAAAUAAUUGGUUUGGUCCCAUGAUCUUGCAGCAACAAUAAAAAUUACGUCUUAAGGACUUGGCAUGAGUCUUUUGUUUCUUUUCUUUUUAAAGAACUGGCGAAGUCUAAGCUAAAUUUUCAUCAGCAUUUCACCUGUAAGGGUGUGUCCUACAGAGGGAGACUUUUCCUUGCAUAAGUUGAAUACUGUUAAUGUGCUGCGUAACGUUAAUUCUGGUUGUGACUAGGUAAAUGGAAAUGAGAGUGUUCUCACAUACACAGAUUUUUUUUUUUUCCCUUCUAAGUUUUUACUUAAGUGAUCUCAUGACCCCGAGAUCAGGAGUUGUGUGCUGUUCCGACUGAGCCAGCCAGGCACCCCACAUACAGAAAUUUUUAAACAUGAGGUUUAGAAAAUAAAUUUCCAAAGAAACUCCUCGGUCUUAUCCUCCUAAUCUUUGGAGUAAUACCGUAUUUUUGGAGAGAUGGAUGAAAGCUGAACUGAGUAGGACCCAGGUGUAGUGUCAGCUUUCUCCUCUUAAUUCUGUUACUAGAACGGGGGUGUCAGAGCUGGGAAUAGGACAGUGACAGCAGUGGGCAGCUGCACAUGUAAUGACAGGAGCUUAAGAGGAAUCCCUUAGCCGCCCUCCCCCACAGCCAAGUGUGUAGGGCAGCUGUGGCGGUGGAGAGAAGGGUAAGAGGUAAUCAGAGGAAGGCUUUCAUUUUUAUUUAUUUUAAUGUUUGUUUACUUUGAGAGAGACACAGAGUGAGCGGGGGAGGGGCAGAGAGAAGGACACAGAAUCCCAAGCAGGCUCUGCACGCUGUCAGUGCAGAGCCAGACUCAGGGCUCAAUCCCAUAAACUGAGAUCAUGACCUGAGCCAAAACCAAGCUUGGACGCCACCCAGGCGCCCCAAGAGGAAGGCUUUUUUUUUUUAAAGACGCAGGUUUGUUUUGAGAUAAAUCAUUGAAAUGUCCAACACCUGAGCUCCCAUACUUUCAUAACCUGGAUCUAGGAAACCGUGGUCUCUGGUGCCAGUACUUUAAGGAUGUGGAAAUAAACUUUCUUUUGCCUGAAUUGUUCCAGUUCCGGACCCUUCAGUUCAAUACAGCGCUCCUUUUGUAGCUAACAAGAACUAGCAAAUGAGUAUGUGUGUGCCCUGGUGGCCCAGCAUGGAUGGUAGCCUUGCAGGUAAUCCCAUGCCCCCUGCCAGUGCAGUUCUGCUUGAGCUGGACAGGCUGGGUGGGAUAGAAGCGAUUGCCAAAUGAUGCCCCACUCUUCACAUACGACCCAUAUCUAGUCUUUGUAACUACAUCUGUGUAAUAGAAAUAGACGUUAGACACUAAAUUUUUUCUACUAAGUCGAAGAUGACCCAGUCCAGAAGGGCAAGGAGAAUUCAUAGGAUAGGCUCAGAAAAGAGCAUCCUGAAGCAAGGAAAAGCUAGUUGGGAACAAGUGGGUAGUAGAGAAGGAAUAUUCCUUUUUUUUUUUUUUAGUUUUUUAGUUUUUUAAAUUUUUUAGAAAAGGUUUUAUUUUUAAGUAAUCUCUACGCCCAGCGUGGGUGCUCAAACUUGCAACCCUCAGAUCAAGAGUCACAUGCUGCACCAACUGAGCUUGCCAGGUGCCCCUAAUUUUUUUCUUUAAGUUUAUUUAUUUAUCUUGAGAGAGAGAGAGAGAGAGGGAGGGUGGGUGGGUGGGGAGUGGGGGACAGAGCAUCCGAAGCAGGCCCUGUGCUGACAGCAGAGAGCCCGAUGCCGGGCUUGAACUCACAAACUCUGAAAUGGUGACCUGAGCAAAAGUUCAGACGCUUAGCCGCCACCCAAGCGCCCCUAAUUUGUUUUCUUUUGGGAAGGAAUAUGGUAGAGUAUCUUGAAUUUGGGGAUGCUGUUAAUUAAUGUCCUUUUUUUUUCUUUUUUUAAUUCUUGAAAAUUUAGUUAUUUUGAGAGAGAGAGAGCGCUCAAGUUGGGGAGGGGCACCGACGGCUAGCACAGAGUCUAGUGCCAGGCUUGAACUCGUGAAACUGAGAUCAUGUCAUGACCUGAGCCGAAAUCUAGAGUUUGAUGCAUAACCAACUGAGCCACCCACCUACGGGCCCUGGGACGAUGUUAAUUUCUGAGGGAGUCUUUGGAGUCAUCGUUGGGAGUGAUGACUGAUGACAAAAACGUCUGACCUUUAUGAUGCUAGAAAAUUUGGGGGAAAAAGAUAGUUAUCCCCAUAAUUCCCUAUGCAGGGGUAUAUGUCCAUCAUGUCUUUUUUUUCCUUGGGGUUUAGGCUUGCUUUUGUACCGUGCCUUCUCCCUUGACACUCAUUAUUUCAAGGAGUUUUUUUUUUCUGUUACUAGUAUGUUCAAUGGCUGAAUAAGUCUGUGGAUGUGUCAUAAUUUAAUUAUAUUUUUAUUUAACAUCCAUGCUCUUUGCAAAUUUGUGGUAAUAUUGCCAUGAAUAUCUUUGUGGCUAAAGCUUCGACCACAGUUUGUAUAUUAGGACCGAGACCCAAAAGUGGAAUUUUUGAAAGCAUAAAAUUUUAAGCCUUUUGAAAUCAUCAGUAGCACUGCGUGUUC
Long non-coding RNA from Leopardus geoffroyi (Geoffroy's cat), 6701 nucleotides. RefSeq lists it as uncharacterized. NCBI's taxonomy places the organism in Eukaryota, Metazoa, Chordata, Mammalia, Carnivora, Felidae. The record is from RefSeq and is a predicted model, not a curated record. The transcript has 2 exons.